Molecule: ribosomal RNA, 936 nt
Filed under: Ignavibacteria bacterium GWA2_35_9
Lineage: Bacteria; Pseudomonadati; Ignavibacteriota; Ignavibacteria
Description: bacterial SSU rRNA
Rfam family: Bacterial small subunit ribosomal RNA
Source: RNAcentral
UACAACGGAGAGUUUGAUCCUGGCUCAGGACGAACGCUGGCGGCGUGCUUAACACAUGCAAGUCGUACGAGAAAGAGGUAGCAAUACUUCAAGUAAAGUGGCGCACGGGUGAGUAACACGUAAGUAACCUGCCUUUAGGUCUGGGAUAACUCCGAGAAAUCGAAGCUAAUACCGGAUGAUGCAGCGGAUCCACAUGGAUAUGUUGUUAAAAUCUAUAUGGUGCCUAAAGAUGGGCUUGCGUCCGAUUAGCUAGUUGGUAGGGUAACGGCCUACCAAGGCUGCGAUCGGUAGCUGGUCUGAGAGGAUGAUCAGCCACACUGGAACUGAGACACGGUCCAGACUCCUACGGGAGGCAGCAGUGAGGAAUAUUGGGCAAUGCCCGGAAGGGUGACCCAGCAACGCCGCGUGGAGGAUGAAUGCCGUAAGGUUGUAAACUCCUGUUAGAGGGGAAGAACAAUUCCGAUCAAAUCGGAACAUGACUGUACCCUCAGAGAAAGCCCCGGCUAACUACGUGCCAGCAGCCGCGGUAAUACGUAGGGGGCUAGCGUUGUCCGGAUUUACUGGGUGUAAAGGGCGCGUAGGUGGAUUUGCAAGUCAGGGGUGAAAUCUCACGGCUUAACCGUGAAACUGCCUUUGAUACUGUAAAUCUUGAGUUCGGAAGAGAGAGACGGAAUUCCAGGUGUAGUGGUGAAAUACGUAGAUAUCUGGAAGAACACCAGUUGCGAAGGCGGUCUCUUGGUCCGAUACUGACACUCAGGCGCGAAAGCGUGGGUAGCAAACAGGAUUAGAUACCCUGGUAGUCCACGCUGUAAACGAUGAAUACUAGGUGUUGGUCCUUUUAGGAUCAGCGCCGAAGCUAACGCAUUAAGUAUUCCACCUGGGGAGUACGAUCGCAAGGUUGAAACUCAAAGGAAUUGACGGGGGCCCGCACAAGCA